CAGAUUGAACGCUGGCGGCAGGCCUAACACAUGCAAGUCGAACGGCAGCACAGAAGAGCUUGCUCUUUGGGUGGCGAGUGGCGGACGGGUGAGUAAUGUCUGGGAAACUGCCCGAUGGAGGGGGAUAACUACUGGAAACGGUAGCUAAUACCGCAUAACGUCGCAAGACCAAAGUGGGGGACCUUCGGGCCUCACACCAUCGGAUGUGCCCAGAUGGGAUUAGCUAGUAGGUGGGGUAAUGGCUCACCUAGGCGACGAUCCCUAGCUGGUCUGAGAGGAUGACCAGCCACACUGGAACUGAGACACGGUCCAGACUCCUACGGGAGGCAGCAGUGGGGAAUAUUGCACAAUGGGCGCAAGCCUGAUGCAGCCAUGCCGCGUGUAUGAAGAAGGCCUUCGGGUUGUAAAGUACUUUCAGCGGGGAGGAAGGCGGUGAGGUUAAUAACCUCGCCGAUUGACGUUACCCGCAGAAGAAGCACCGGCUAACUCCGUGCCAGCAGCCGCGGUAAUACGGAGGGUGCAAGCGUUAAUCGGAAUUACUGGGCGUAAAGCGCACGCAGGCGGUCUGUUAAGUCAGAUGUGAAAUCCCCGGGCUUAACCUGGGAACUGCAUUUGAAACUGGCAGGCUUGAGUCUCGUAGAGGGGGGUAGAAUUCCAGGUGUAGCGGUGAAAUGCGUAGAGAUCUGGAGGAAUACCGGUGGCGAAGGCGG
This 710-nucleotide ribosomal RNA is filed under the name Pantoea dispersa. Its description in RNAcentral is "bacterial SSU rRNA". It matches the Rfam family "Bacterial small subunit ribosomal RNA", at positions 25 to 724 of the family's 1533-position model. The record is from RNAcentral. Lineage: Bacteria; Pseudomonadati; Pseudomonadota; Gammaproteobacteria; Enterobacterales; Erwiniaceae.